Molecule: non-coding RNA, 2084 nt
Organism: Cricetulus griseus (Chinese hamster)
Lineage: Eukaryota; Metazoa; Chordata; Mammalia; Rodentia; Cricetidae
Source: RefSeq, a predicted model, not a curated record
CGCUCUGCUGGAGCGGUCCAAACCUCAAUACGGCGAGCUGAGGCUUCAAACGCCGGCUGAGGAAAUUUGGAGGAAGCGGGGUUUGAGUGCGGCCAGAUCGGGGGAUUCCCGGGGUGGCGGGGACUUGAUGGAAACCCCCGCGCGGUCUGAUCCUGCGGCGGAAGCAGACCGCCCGGGAACUUUGACAAGCCGCGAGGGUCAGGAGCCGUGCCGGCGAGCUGGAAGGGCAGGCGGACGCCGGCCACCAGCAAGGGGAAUCUGCCGAGAACUGUCUAAAGGGCCCCAGGUGGUUCUUUGCCGGAAUGAAAGCUACCUGACACGUGGCAUGUGAGAUUCUGCUUGGCUGCCUGUACAGCCAGAGCCCUGCGGUUCAGAGAGGGCUUCAUAUGGAGUGGGAAGAAUGAGAGCACCAAGGUGCAGCACUAUUGCCUACAGCUCUGCCAACAACCAUGGGUCCCGCAUGGCUGCCUUUCUGCUGGGUUCUGGAAAGACAAGGGAAGGGUGAGGGGAGGAAAACCAUAGGACACAGAAGAGGCUGAUUUGGAGCAGAGAGAGCAUCCAGAUGUGGGGGUGACAGAUGGAAUCGGCAGGGAAGGAUUUGUUCUCGGGAUCCUUAAGAAAUUGCUGUAUCCACCCAACUUUCAGCAACCAAGACAACCAGUCAGCAGCCUUCAACAUCCAGGCAAAACCUAUGAGCAAAAAGAUGACUGAAGACUCCAACAGUGAUCAGCAACUUUCAACAUUGAACUACUUUAAAAUUGAGGCAUUAUAGUAAUUACUUGAUUCUCUGUGAAAAAAUACCUGGCCAAUGCAACUUAAGUGGGGGAGGUUUGUUUUGUCUCACAGCUAGAGGGCACAGUCCAUAAUGUCAGAGACGGUGGCAGGAUGGCAGCAGGAGAAGAAGAUGCAGGUCAUAUUGCAGUCACAUCCAGGAAGCAGAGAGAGAGAGAGAUGAUGAUGACCGUGCUUUGCUCACAUUCUCCUGUUUUAUUUUGUUUUGUUUUAAUUUACUCCAGGAUCCCAACACAGGGAAUAGAACAGACCACAUUUAGGGUAGUCUUUCCAACUCAGCCAGCCUAAUCUGGAGAACACCUCAUGGGCAUGUCUGGUGUUCAUUUUAAAUCCCAUCAAUCAAGAUUAACCAUUACUGUUUUGUCUAUUUCUUAUUUCAGACACAAUGAACUGACACACUUGUGUAAACAUGACUCUUACUUGCACUUAGAAACAAAAGAGAGUUUCAGAACUUGCAUUAGGCAAUAUUAACAUGAAUAAUUUUAAUGAGGUGGUUUGAAACCAAACCUGCAAUAUCUGAUGUAUUCUUCCAUUAAAUAACAACUGAUAAAUAUUUUUUAAAGUACAAAGAUGUCUAAGUUUUCUCCACUGUCUUGAAUUUUCUCAAGGGGUAAAAUGAUGACAAUGGCAUCACGAGAUUAUUUUGAGGGUGAAAUGGAAAGACCCAUAUACAUCACACAACACUGGAAGUGACAAGGGAGAGUGCAGAUUUCCAUAACUGCUGUCACCAAAGUUAUAUUCAUUGAUAAACAUCUAGAAUUUUUCUGUAGAGUUUUAAAUUCAUAAAUUCUAUUCCAAUGCAAUAUAUGAAAAGACAAGUACAGGCAAAUCAUUUCAAGCAGCUUUGAAAAAUUUUCAUUUUCAGAGUUGGUCUUUUUUUGAGUUUAAGUCUUUUAGAACAUAUUUGCCUCAGAGACAUUGGUUUUGGGGAAUUUUCUUUUCUUCUUGCAAUGUUGCUGUUACAUCAGGAAUGUUGGAAAGAAGCGAUGAGCAUAUCUGAAAUGUGCCCCUCUGCUGAACUCAAAGUUUCUUUCAGUUCACAGACACCUACUCUCCUUGUGCUUGCUCUGUCUUACCAGAAAGUGCCAAUGGAAGGUUGCCAAGCAACCACAUUUGUAUUCUUUCCUCAAGUCCUGCUAUUUGCAUUCUUAAUUUUUUUAAAAAUUAUAAUAUAAUUACAUCAUUUCCACCUUCCCUUUCCUCCCUUCAAAUCCUCCGUCCAUGUAGCCCCAUCUUGCUCGCUUUCAAAUUCGUGGCCUCUUUCCUUAAUAAGUGCUGUGUGUGUGUGUGUG